This 454-nucleotide ribosomal RNA is filed under the name uncultured Prevotella sp. Its description in RNAcentral is "partial 16S ribosomal RNA". It matches the Rfam family "Bacterial small subunit ribosomal RNA", at positions 341 to 792 of the family's 1533-position model. Lineage: Bacteria; Pseudomonadati; Bacteroidota; Bacteroidia; Bacteroidales; Prevotellaceae. The record is from RNAcentral.
ACGGGAGGCAGCAGUGAGGAAUAUUGGUCAAUGGGCGGAAGCCUGAACCAGCCAAGUCGCGUGAAGGAUGAAGGUAUUAUGUAUUGUAAACUUCUUUAGACGCAGGGAAAUAAGCGGGUCGUGACCCGUGAUGCUAGUAUGCGUAGAAUAAGGAUCGGCUAAUUCCGUGCCAGCAGCCGCGGUAAUACGGAAGGUCCGGGCGUUAUCCGGAUUUAUUGGGUUUAAAGGGAGCGUAGGCUGUAUUUUAAGCGUGUUGUGAAAUGUAGGCGCUCAACGUCUGCACUGCAGCGCGAACUGGAGUACUUGAGUGCGCAGGAAGUUGGCGGAAUUCGUCGUGUAGCGGUGAAAUGCUUAGAUAUGACGAAGAACUCCGAUUGCGAAGGCAGCUGACUGUAGCGUUACUGACGCUGAAGCUCGAAAGUGCGGGUAUCGAACAGGAUUAGAUACCCUGGUA